This is a non-coding RNA of Nomascus leucogenys (northern white-cheeked gibbon), 131 nucleotides long. The record is from Rfam. Lineage: Eukaryota; Metazoa; Chordata; Mammalia; Primates; Hylobatidae.
GGGGUGUGCUCAGAGCAGGGGGCCCAAAGAAUGGCUCCUCUGUUUACAACACACCCAACAGGAAUCUGGGGUCAUUGUGAUGAGGGCCUCAAACUUGUGGCUUCCCUAUGAACAAAUGUCCCCCUACACCU